UACGUAGGGGGCAAGCGUUGUCCGGAAUCAUUGGGCGUAAAGAGCGUGUAGGCGGUUCGGUAAGUCGGCUGUGAAAGUCCAGGGCUCAACCCUGGGAUGCCGGUGGAUACUGUCGGGCUCGAGUCCGGAAGAGGAGUGUGGAAUUCCUGGUGUAGCGGUGAAAUGCGCAGAUAUCAGGAGGAACACCAAUGGCGAAGGCAGCACUCUGGGACGUGACUGACGCUGAGACGCGAAAGCGUGGGGAGCAAACAGG
This 253-nucleotide ribosomal RNA is filed under the name uncultured bacterium. Its description in RNAcentral is "partial 16S ribosomal RNA". It matches the Rfam family "Bacterial small subunit ribosomal RNA", at positions 524 to 776 of the family's 1533-position model. The record is from RNAcentral.